Molecule: transfer RNA, 90 nt
Filed under: Gammaproteobacteria bacterium
Lineage: Bacteria; Pseudomonadati; Pseudomonadota; Gammaproteobacteria
Description: tRNA-Ser
Rfam family: tRNA
About the family: Transfer RNA (tRNA) molecules are approximately 80 nucleotides in length.
Source: RNAcentral
GGAGAGGUGUCCGAGUGGCUUAAGGAGCACGCCUGGAAAGUGUGUGUACGUUAAUCCGUACCGAGGGUUCGAAUCCCUCCCUCUCCGCCA